UACGAAGGGGGCUAGCGUUGUUCGGAAUCACUGGGCGUAAAGGGCGCGUAGGCGGCCACGCACGUCCGUUGUGAAAUCGCCCGGCUCAACUGGGCGGGGUCAGCGGAUACGGUGUGGCUCGAGCAAGCUAGGGGGCAAUGGAAUUCCCGGUGUAGUGGUGGAAUGCGUAGAUAUCGGGAGGAACACCAGUGGCGAAGGCGGUUGCCUGGAGCUUUGCUGACGCUGAGGCGCGAAAGCGUGGGGAGCGAUCCGG
Molecule: ribosomal RNA, 253 nt
Filed under: uncultured bacterium
Lineage: Bacteria
Description: partial 16S ribosomal RNA
Rfam family: Bacterial small subunit ribosomal RNA
Source: RNAcentral